CGAACGCUGGCGGCAUGCCUAACACAUGCAAGUCGAACGAGACCUUCGGGUCUAGUGGCGCACGGGUGCGUAACGCGUGGGAACCUGCCCUUAGGUUCGGAAUAACUCCCCGAAAGGGGUGCUAAUACCGGAUAAUGUCUUCGGACCAAAGAUUUAUCGCCUUUGGAUGGGCCCGCGUUGGAUUAGCUAGUUGGUAGGGUAAAAGCCUGCCAAGGCGACGAUCCAUAGCUGGUCUGAGAGGAUGAUCAGCCACACUGGGACUGAGACACGGCCCAGACUCCUACGGGAGGCAGCAGUGGGGAAUAUUGGACAAUGGGCGAAAGCCUGAUCCAGCAAUGCCGCGUGAGUGAUGAAGGCCUUAGGGUUGUAAAGCUCUUUUACCCGGGAUGAUAAUGACAGUACCGGGAGAAUAAGCUCCGGCUAACUCCGUG
This 431-nucleotide ribosomal RNA is filed under the name uncultured bacterium. RNAcentral's name for it is "partial 16S ribosomal RNA". It matches the Rfam family "Bacterial small subunit ribosomal RNA", at positions 30 to 507 of the family's 1533-position model. The record is from RNAcentral.